GAUGAACGCUAGCGGCAGGCUUAAUACAUGCAAGUCGUGGGGCAGCAGCUCUGUAGCAAUACAGAGGCUGGCGACCGGCAAACGGGUGCGGAACACGUACGCAACCUUCCUUUAACUGGAGAAUAGCCCCUCGAAAGAGGGAUUAAUACUCCGUAACAUAUUGAAAAGGCAUCUUUUUAAUAUUAUAGCUCCGGCGGUUAAAGAUGGGCGUGCGCCUGAUUAGAUAGUUGGCGGGGUAAUGGCCCACCAAGUCUGCGAUCAGUAACUGGUGUGAGAGCACGACCAGUCACACGGGCACUGAGACACGGGCCCGACUCCUACGGGAGGCAGCAGUAAGGAAUAUUGGUCAAUGGACGCAAGUCUGAACCAGCCAUGCCG
This 378-nucleotide ribosomal RNA is filed under the name uncultured bacterium. RNAcentral describes it as "bacterial SSU rRNA". It matches the Rfam family "Bacterial small subunit ribosomal RNA", at positions 28 to 399 of the family's 1533-position model. The record is from RNAcentral.